CAGUAGCCGCGGUAAUACGUAGGGUGCAAGCGUUAAUCGGAAUUACUGGGCGUAAAGCGUGCGCAGGCGGUUAUAUAAGUCAGAUGUGAAAUCCCCGGGCUCAACCUGGGAACUGCAUUUGAGACUGUAUGGCUAGAGUGUGUCAGAGGGGGGUAGAAUUCCACGUGUAGCAGUGAAAUGCGUAGAUAUGUGGAGGAAUACCGAUGGCGAAGGCAGCCCCCUGGGAUAACACUGACGCUCAUGCACGAAAGCGUGGGGAGCAAACAGGAUUAGAUACCCGCGUAGUCCCUGUCUCUUAUAC
RNAcentral lists this ribosomal RNA (301 nucleotides) under uncultured bacterium. RNAcentral describes it as "partial 16S ribosomal RNA". It matches the Rfam family "Bacterial small subunit ribosomal RNA", at positions 509 to 807 of the family's 1533-position model. The record is from RNAcentral.